UCAGCCAUUUUCGCUCCUUAAUUUCCCCACGAAUCUCAAAUUGCAUUUAUUGAUUCUCUAAAGUUGACCCAUUUCACCCAUUUCGAUUUAUUCAUUCUGCUCUUUUGUUUUCUACUUCCCUUUCCCCGCAAUUCUGACUUCUCCUCUUGCCGUCGCCCUCUUCCUUCUUGUCGUCGCCCUCCGGCUGGUUCUUGUCGUCGCCACCAUCCUCUUUUCGCGCCAUUACAGUCCCUCUGUGUCUCUCUCGAGUGCAAGGUAUGUUUUCCUAAAUCCAAUUUUCCCCCAAAUGUAACCUAAUAAUCUAUGUUUCUACAAUUUCACUCUAUUUUUCCCCAAAUAUUAGUUGUUGUGUAUUACAAAUUUAUAGUUUACAAGUUUUUAUGAAAAUUUUAAUGUGACAUGAGAUACCCAAUUGCAGUGUAUUACUUCAUUCUUUCUGUUUGGUGCUGAACUGGGAUUUUCAUGGCUUAGUGACAUACAUCCAACUUGUGUUGAUAAAUUAUUGUGUUGAAGAAUUUAGUUAUUUCUUGAAUCAAAGUUCAGGUAUGCUCUGAUUUUACAUUAAUUUAGAAAUUUUCAGAGGGUAUAUGCGCUGACUUGCUUGGUAUAAUGGGUAUUAAUUAAUUUGUUUUUAGGUAUGUUCAAUCUCUGUCCUGUGAAUAUUUUAGUUAUAUGGCCAUAUCUAUCUUUGUGAAGAGUUAGAGAAAGAGAAAAAAAUAUUUAAUUUGGCUGUGGUGUUUAUUGAAAAAUAGAGUUAGCUGUAUAUUUGGUGGACAGUCAAUUGUAAAAGAUAUAUAUAAUAUGUUUUCAUAACUAAAGGAAUAUCUCGUUUUGUGUAAUAUUUGUG
RNAcentral lists this long non-coding RNA (847 nucleotides) under Panax ginseng (ginseng). Its description in RNAcentral is "long non-coding RNA (PGIN_LNC002895)". Lineage: Eukaryota; Viridiplantae; Streptophyta; Magnoliopsida; Apiales; Araliaceae. The record is from RNAcentral.